GGCCCAGUGGUGUAGUGGUAACGCAUCCUCUUCAUUUAGUGCACUCCCACAAGUCAGAGGAAGUGCCUUGUUCAAUUUGGGGCUGGGCCA
Non-coding RNA from Mycena galericulata, 90 nucleotides. Lineage: Eukaryota; Fungi; Basidiomycota; Agaricomycetes; Agaricales; Mycenaceae. The record is from the annotation of a GenBank genome assembly.